This 448-nucleotide ribosomal RNA is filed under the name uncultured bacterium. Its description in RNAcentral is "bacterial SSU rRNA". It matches the Rfam family "Bacterial small subunit ribosomal RNA", at positions 29 to 524 of the family's 1533-position model. The record is from RNAcentral.
AGCGAACGCUGGCGGCAGGCCUAACACAUGCAAGUCGAGCGCCCCGCAAGGGGAGCGGCAGACGGGAGAGUAACACGUGGGAACGUGCCCUUUGGUUCGGAACAACCCAGGGAAACUUGGGCUAAUACCGGAUAAGUCCGUAAGGAGAAAGAUUUAUCGCCAAAGGAGCGGCCCGCGUCUGAUUAGCUAGUUGGUGAGGUAACGGCUCACCAAGGCGACGAUCAGUAGCUGGUCUGAGAGGAUGAUCAGCCUCACUGGGACUGAGACACGGCCCAGACUCCUACGGGAGGCAGCAGUGGGGAAUAUUGGACAAUGGGCGCAAGCCUGAUCCAGCCAUGCCGCGUGGGUGAUGAAGGCCCUAGGGUUGUAAAGCCCUUUCAGCGGGGAAGAUAAUGACGGUACCAGCAGAAGAAGCCCCGGCUAACUCCGUGCCAGCAGCCGCGUAAAC